CACUGUGUUUACAGAUAAUCCAGCAAGUUUGCAGGCCAAAUGGCUCUCUAAAUCUAAGUCCACAAAGCACUGAAUGACACAGCAUGCUGCUCAGGGAGAUUCCAGCACAGCUCACCAGAAGGUAAUUGUGACUGAUGCACUCUAAGUGCAUCAGCCAGGCUAUUGCAUAUCAUUUCAUAGCUCAAGAGUAUGAACAAUAAGAAGCAGAUUCACCAAAUCUCGAGCAAUUAAAUGAUGGAGCGGUGUACAUUUUUGAGUGUCCCAGAUUCAGAGGCUCCAUUUUAAAUAACUGUUCUGACAAGCUAGUUCCCAGCAGGCAAAGUGUGAGCAGAGAUUAUCUCAAGCACAAGAGGGGUGUGCAGAGAUGGAAGCAGAGAAUGGAAGCACAAAUACCUGAUCUAUUGGACAAUGUGAAAGGGUGAACCAAUGGGUCCAAAAUCCACUUUUUCUUCUUAUUUGAACAGUAUGGCUUAUAAUAUUAUGUCAACUUCAAAGACAUUUUGCAAGCACAAGACAGCUUCUCU
Molecule: long non-coding RNA, 524 nt
Filed under: Dromaius novaehollandiae (emu)
Lineage: Eukaryota; Metazoa; Chordata; Aves; Casuariiformes; Dromaiidae
Description: lncRNA (ENSDNVG00000014442.1)
Source: RNAcentral